CCGUGCGUAGCCCAGCUGGAUAGAGCGUUGGCCUCCGAAGCCAAAGGUCGUGGGUUCGAAUCCCGCCGCGCGGG
RNAcentral lists this transfer RNA (74 nucleotides) under Clostridia bacterium. Its description in RNAcentral is "tRNA-Arg". It matches the Rfam family "tRNA". From Rfam's summary of the family: Transfer RNA (tRNA) molecules are approximately 80 nucleotides in length. The record is from RNAcentral. Lineage: Bacteria; Bacillati; Bacillota; Clostridia.